This 460-nucleotide ribosomal RNA is filed under the name uncultured bacterium. RNAcentral describes it as "partial 16S ribosomal RNA". It matches the Rfam family "Bacterial small subunit ribosomal RNA", at positions 338 to 795 of the family's 1533-position model. The record is from RNAcentral.
CCUACGGGUGGCUGCAGUGAGGAAUAUUGGUCAAUGGACGAAAGUCUGAACCAGCCAAGCCGCGUGCAGGAUGACUGCCCUAUGGGUUGUAAACUUCUUUUAUAUGAGAAUAAAACGUUUCACGUGUGGGAUUUUGUAUGUACCGUAUGAAUAAGGAUCGGCUAACUCCGUGCCAGCAGCCGCGGUAAUACGGAGGAUCCGAGCGUUAUCCGGAUUUAUUGGGUUUAAAGGGAGCGUAGGUGGAUUGGUAAGUCAGUUGUGAAAGUUUGGGGCUCAACCGUAAAAUUGCAGUUGAUACUGGCAGUCUAGAGUACAGUAGAGGUGGGCGGAAUGCGUGGUGUAGCGGUGAAAUGCUUAGAUAUCACGAAGAACUCCGAUUGCGAAGGCAGUUCACUGGACUGCAACUGACACUGAGGCUCGAAAGUGUGGGUAGCAAACAGGAUUAGAUACCCGGGUAGUC